This 1645-nucleotide ribosomal RNA is filed under the name Escherichia coli. Its description in RNAcentral is "partial 23S ribosomal RNA". It matches the Rfam family "Bacterial large subunit ribosomal RNA", at positions 1291 to 2915 of the family's 2925-position model. The record is from RNAcentral. Lineage: Bacteria; Pseudomonadati; Pseudomonadota; Gammaproteobacteria; Enterobacterales; Enterobacteriaceae.
CGAAUGCUGACAUAAGUAACGAUAAAGCGGGUGAAAAGCCCGCUCGCCGGAAGACCAAGGGUUCCUGUCCAACGUUAAUCGGGGCAGGGUGAGUCGACCCCUAAGGCGAGGCCGAAAGGCGUAGUCGAUGGGAAACAGGUUAAUAUUCCUGUACUUGGUGUUACUGCGAAGGGGGGACGGAGAAGGCUAUGUUGGCCGGGCGACGGUUGUCCCGGUUUAAGCGUGUAGGCUGGUUUUCCAGGCAAAUCCGGAAAAUCAAGGCUGAGGCGUGAUGACGAGGCACUACGGUGCUGAAGCAACAAAUGCCCUGCUUCCAGGAAAAGCCUCUAAGCAUCAGGUAACAUCAAAUCGUACCCCAAACCGACACAGGUGGUCAGGUAGAGAAUACCAAGGCGCUUGAGAGAACUCGGGUGAAGGAACUAGGCAAAAUGGUGCCGUAACUUCGGGAGAAGGCACGCUGAUAUGUAGGUGAAGUCCCUCGCGGAUGGAGCUGAAAUCAGUCGAAGAUACCAGCUGGCUGCAACUGUUUAUUAAAAACACAGCACUGUGCAAACACGAAAGUGGACGUAUACGGUGUGACGCCUGCCCGGUGCCGGAAGGUUAAUUGAUGGGGUUAGCGCAAGCGAAGCUCUUGAUCGAAGCCCCGGUAAACGGCGGCCGUAACUAUAACGGUCCUAAGGUAGCGAAAUUCCUUGUCGGGUAAGUUCCGACCUGCACGAAUGGCGUAAUGAUGGCCAGGCUGUCUCCACCCGAGACUCAGUGAAAUUGAACUCGCUGUGAAGAUGCAGUGUACCCGCGGCAAGACGGAAAGACCCCGUGAACCUUUACUAUAGCUUGACACUGAACAUUGAGCCUUGAUGUGUAGGAUAGGUGGGAGGCUUUGAAGUGUGGACGCCAGUCUGCAUGGAGCCGACCUUGAAAUACCACCCUUUAAUGUUUGAUGUUCUAACGUUGACCCGUGAUCCGGGUUGCGGACAGUGUCUGGUGGGUAGUUUGACUGGGGCGGUCUCCUCCUAAAGAGUAACGGAGGAGCACGAAGGUUGGCUAAUCCUGGUCGGACAUCAGGAGGUUAGUGCAAUGGCAUAAGCCAGCUUGACUGCGAGCGUGACGGCGCGAGCAGGUGCGAAAGCAGGUCAUAGUGAUCCGGUGGUUCUGAAUGGAAGGGCCAUCGCUCAACGGAUAAAAGGUACUCCGGGGAUAACAGGCUGAUACCGCCCAAGAGUUCAUAUCGACGGCGGUGUUUGGCACCUCGAUGUCGGCUCAUCACAUCCUGGGGCUGAAGUAGGUCCCAAGGGUAUGGCUGUUCGCCAUUUAAAGUGGUACGCGAGCUGGGUUUAGAACGUCGUGAGACAGUUCGGUCCCUAUCUGCCGUGGGCGCUGGAGAACUGAGGGGGGCUGCUCCUAGUACGAGAGGACCGGAGUGGACGCAUCACUGGUGUUCGGGUUGUCAUGCCAAUGGCACUGCCCGGUAGCUAAAUGCGGAAGAGAUAAGUGCUGAAAGCAUCUAAGCACGAAACUUGCCCCGAGAUGAGUUCUCCCUGACUCCUUGAGAGUCCUGAAGGAACGUUGAAGACGACGACGUUGAUAGGCCGGGUGUGUAAGCGCAGCGAUGCGUUGAGCUAACCGGUACUAAUGAACCGUGAGG